AAGCCUUCAAGCCUUGCUUGGUGUUGGGCGUUGUCUGCGUGAGUGCGGACUCGCUUCAAAUGCAUUGGCAGCCAGCAAUGGGGUUGUUAGAGCGCAGCACAUUUUGCGUUCCCAGCCACAGGUGCCGGCGUCCACAAAGCUUAUUUCAAC
Molecule: unclassified non-coding RNA, 150 nt
Filed under: uncultured Pyrenochaeta
Lineage: Eukaryota; Fungi; Ascomycota; Dothideomycetes; Pleosporales; Pleosporaceae
Description: sequence contains ITS2
Source: RNAcentral